ACACUGACGGUGAAGCGGUUAUCAUGCUUGCCUUCCAAUCUCUGCAACAAGCAAGCGGCAGGGGUUCGCCUCCCCUUCGGUGUC
Molecule: non-coding RNA, 84 nt
Organism: Mycena metata
Lineage: Eukaryota; Fungi; Basidiomycota; Agaricomycetes; Agaricales; Mycenaceae
Source: the annotation of a GenBank genome assembly